UUCUUUUUAUGGAGAGUUUGAUCCUGGCUCAGGAUGAACGCUGGCGGCGUGCCUAACAC
Molecule: ribosomal RNA, 59 nt
Filed under: Nanosynbacter sp.
Lineage: Bacteria; Bacillati; Minisyncoccota; Nanosynbacteria; Nanosynbacterales; Nanosynbacteraceae
Description: Candidatus Nanosynbacter sp. partial 16S ribosomal RNA
Source: RNAcentral